UACGGAGGGUGCGAGCGUUGUCCGGAAUCACUGGGCGUAAAGGGCGCGUAGGCGGCGCGAGCAGUCAACGGUGAAAGCUCGGGGCUCAACCCUGAGUCGGCCGUCGAUACUCUCGCGCUGGAGCACUGUAGAGGCAGGUGGAAUUCCGGGAGUAGCGGUGGAAUGCGUAGAGAUCCGGAAGAACACCGGUGGCGAAGGCGGCCUGCUGGGCAGUAGCUGACGCUGAGGCGCGACAGCGUGGGGAGCAAACAGG
RNAcentral lists this ribosomal RNA (253 nucleotides) under uncultured bacterium. RNAcentral describes it as "partial 16S ribosomal RNA". It matches the Rfam family "Bacterial small subunit ribosomal RNA", at positions 524 to 776 of the family's 1533-position model. The record is from RNAcentral.